This 465-nucleotide ribosomal RNA is filed under the name uncultured bacterium. RNAcentral's name for it is "partial 16S ribosomal RNA". It matches the Rfam family "Bacterial small subunit ribosomal RNA", at positions 28 to 507 of the family's 1533-position model. The record is from RNAcentral.
GACGAACGCUGGCGGCGUGCUUAACACAUGCAAGUCGAACGCUGAACCCGCUUCGGUGGGGGAUGAGUGGCGAACGGGUGAGUAACACGUGGGCAACCUGCCCCCGGCUCUGGGAUAACUCCAAGAAAUUGGGGCUAAUACCGGAUGUGACCGCUGGCCGCAUGGUCUGGUGGUGGAAAGGGUUUCCGGCUGGGGAUGGGCCCGCGGCCUAUCAGCUUGUUGGUGGGGUAGUGGCCUACCAAGGCGACGACGGGUAGCCGGCCUGAGAGGGUGACCGGCCACACUGGGACUGAGACACGGCCCGGACUCCUACGGGAGGCAGCAGUGGGGAAUAUUGCGCAAUGGGCGGAAGCCUGACGCAGCGACGCCGCGUGGGGGAUGACGGCCUUCGGGUUGUAAACCUCUUUCAGCAGGGACGAAGCGCAAGUGACGGUACCUGCAGAAGAAGCACCGGCCAACUACGUG